AUUGAACGCUGGCGGCAUGCCUUACACAUGCAAGUCGAACGGCAGCACGGGAGCAAUCCUGGUGGCGAGUGGCGAACGGGUGAGUAAUAUAUCGGAACGUGCCCAGUCGUGGGGAAUAACGUAGCGAAAGCUACGCUAAUACCGCAUACGAUCUAUGGAUGAAAGCGGGGGAUCGCAAGACCUCGCGCGAUUGGAGCGGCCGAUAUCAGAUUAGGUAGUUGGUGGGGUAAAAGCCUACCAAGCCUUCGAUCUGUAGCUGGUCUGAGAGGACGACCAGCCACACUGGAACUGAGACACGGUCCAGACUCCUACGGGAGGCAGCAGUGGGGAAUUUUGGACAAUGGGCGCAAGCCUGAUCCAGCAAUGUCGCGUGCAGGAUGAAGGCC
This 386-nucleotide ribosomal RNA is filed under the name uncultured bacterium. Its description in RNAcentral is "bacterial SSU rRNA". It matches the Rfam family "Bacterial small subunit ribosomal RNA", at positions 30 to 416 of the family's 1533-position model. The record is from RNAcentral.